RNAcentral lists this ribosomal RNA (460 nucleotides) under uncultured bacterium. Its description in RNAcentral is "partial 16S ribosomal RNA". It matches the Rfam family "Bacterial small subunit ribosomal RNA", at positions 338 to 795 of the family's 1533-position model. The record is from RNAcentral.
CCUACGGGUGGCUGCAGUGAGGAAUAUUGGUCAAUGGGCGCGAGCCUGAACCAGCCAAGUAGCGUGAAGGAUGACUGCCCUACGGGUUGUAAACUUCUUUUAUAAAGGAAUAAAGUGAGGCACGUGUGCCCUUUUGUAUGUACUUUAUGAAUAAGGAUCGGCUAACUCCGUGCCAGCAGCCGCGGUAAUACGGAGGAUCCGAGCGUUAUCCGGAUUUAUUGGGUUUAAAGGGUGCGUAGAUGGGUUGUUAAGUCAGUUGUGAAAGUUUGGGGCUCAACCGUAAAAUUGCAAUUGAUACUGGCAGCCUUGAGUACAGUAGAGGUAGGCGGAAUUCGUGGUGUAGCGGUGAAAUGCAUAGAUAUCACGAAGAACUCCGAUUGCGAAGGCAGCAUACUAAACUGCCACUGACGUUGAUGCACGAAAGUGUGGGUAUCAAACAGGAUUAGAUACCCGGGUAGUC